GGGACACGUGGUAUCCUGUCUGAAUAUGGGGGGACCAUCCUCCAAGGCUAAAUACUCCUGACUGACCGAUAGUGAACCAGUACCGUGAGGGAAAGGCGAAAAGAACCCCGGCGAGGGGAGUGAAAAAGAACCUGAAACCGUGUACGUACAAGCAGUGGGAGCACCCUUUGGGGUGUGACUGCGUACCUUUUGUAUAAUGGGUCAGCGACUUAUAUUCUGUAGCAAGGUUAACCGAAUAGGGGAGCCGGAGGGAAACCGAGUCUUAAUUGGGCGUUAAGUUGCAGGGUAUAGACCCGAAACCCGGUGAUCUAGCCAUGGGCAGGUUGAAGGUUGGGUAACACUAACUGGAGGACCGAACCGACUAAUGUUGAAAAAUUAGCGGAUGACCUGUGGCUGGGGGUGAAAGGCCAAUCAAACCGGGAGAUAGCUGGUUCUCCCCGAAAGCUAUUUAGGUAGCGCCUCGUGAAUUCAUCUCCGGGGGUAGAGCACUGUUUCGGCUAGGGGGCCAUCCCGGCUUACCAACCCGAUGCAAACUGCGAAUACCGGAGAAUGUUAUCACGGGAGACACACGGCGGGUGCUAACGUCCGUCGUGAAGAGGGAAACAACCCAGACCGCCAGCUAAGGUCCCAAAGUCAUGGUUAAGUGGGAAACGAUGUGGGAAGGCCCAGACAGCCAGGAUGUUGGCUUAGAAGCAGCCAUCAUUUAAAGAAAGCGUAAUAGCUCACUGGUCGAGUCGGCCUGCGCGGAAGAUGUAACGGGGCUAAACUAUGCACCGAAGCUGCGGCAGCGACACUAUGUGUUGUUGGGUAGGGGAGCGUUCUGUAAGCCUGUGAAGGUGUGUCGUGAGGCAUGCUGGAGGUAUCAGAAGUGCGAAUGCUGACAUAAGUAACGAUAAAGCGGGUGAAAAGCCCGCUCGCCGGAAGACCAAGGGUUCCUGUCCAACGUUAAUCGGGGCAGGGUGAGUCGACCCCUAAGGCGAGGCCGAAAGGCGUAGUCGAUGGGAAACGGGUUAAUAUUCCCGUACUUGGUGUUACUGCGAAGGGGGGACGGAGAAGGCUAUGUUGGCCGGGCGACGGUUGUCCCGGUUUAAGCGUGUAGGUGUGUGUUCCAGGUAAAUCCGGUUCACUUUAACACUGAGGCGUGACGACGAGGCACUACGGUGCUGAAGCAACAAAUGCCCUGCUUCCAGGAAAAGCCUCUAAGCAUCAGGUAACAUCAAAUCGUACCCCAAACCGACACAGGUGGUCAGGUAGAGAAUACCAAGGCGCUUGAGAGAACUCGGGUGAAGGAACUAGGCAAAAUGGUGCCGUAACUUCGGGAGAAGGCACGCUGACACGUAGGUGAAGUGAUUUACUCAUGGAGCUGAAGUCAGUCGAAGAUACCAGCUGGCUGCAACUGUUUAUUAAAAACACAGCACUGUGCAAACACGAAAGUGGACGUAUACGGUGUGACGCCUGCCCGGUGCCGGAAGGUUAAUUGAUGGGGUCAGCGCAAGCGAAGCUCCUGAUCGAAGCCCCGGUAAACGGCGGCCGUAACUAUAACGGUCCUAAGGUAGCGAAAUUCCUUGUCGGGUAAGUUCCGACCUGCACGAAUGGCGUAAUGAUGGCCAGGCUGUCUCCACCCGAGACUCAGUGAAAUUGAACUCGCUGUGAAGAUGCAGUGUACCCGCGGCAAGACGGAAAGACCCCGUGAACCUUUACUAUAGCUUGACACUGAACAUUGAGCCUUGAUGUGUAG
This 1738-nucleotide ribosomal RNA is filed under the name Salmonella enterica subsp. enterica serovar Newport. Its description in RNAcentral is "partial 23S ribosomal RNA". It matches the Rfam family "Bacterial large subunit ribosomal RNA", at positions 419 to 2141 of the family's 2925-position model. Lineage: Bacteria; Pseudomonadati; Pseudomonadota; Gammaproteobacteria; Enterobacterales; Enterobacteriaceae. The record is from RNAcentral.